This 1757-nucleotide ribosomal RNA is filed under the name bioreactor metagenome. RNAcentral's name for it is "bacterial LSU rRNA". It matches the Rfam family "Bacterial large subunit ribosomal RNA", at positions 1105 to 2925 of the family's 2925-position model. The record is from RNAcentral.
CUUAGAAGCAGCCAUUCAUUUAAAGAGUGCGUAAUAGCUCACUGGUCGAGUGAUGUUGCGCCGAAGAUUUAACGGGGCUAAGCAUAUAACCGAAGCUUGGGCAGCGACACGAAGAGUGUUGACUGGGUAGGGGAGCGUUCUGUACGGGGUGAAGCGUGAGCGGAAGCACACGUGGACUGUACAGAAGUGAGAAUGCCGGAAUGAGUAGCGAGAAUUGCGUGAGAAUCGUAAUGGCCGAAAGUCUAAGGUUUCCGGGGGAAGGUUCGUCCGCCCCGGGUUAGCCGGGAGCUAAGGCGAGGCCGAAAGGCGUAGUCGAUGCACAUACGGUUGAUAUUCCGUAGCCGCCGAUGAUUUAAGCACACUGACACAUCGUUAAGGUCUGUCCCCGGGGUUGGUAGGCCGGGGCGCAAGGGACUGAAAUUAGAGUAGGGAAGCAGGCUAAGACGGUGGCGAGAAAAGGUGUGAGGUAUAUCAAAGGCGCCCGUACCGCAAACCGACACAGGUAGAUGAGGAGAGGAUCCUAAGGCCAGCGGGAGAAGGGUUGUUAAGGAACUCGGCAAAUUGACCCCGUAACUUCGGGAGAAGGGGUGCCUGCGAAAGCAGGUCGCAGUGAAUAGGCCCAGGCGACUGUUUAACAAAAACACAGGUCUCUGCGAAACCGAAAGGUGAAGUAUAGGGGCUGACGCCUGCCCGGUGCCGGAAGGUCAAGGGGAUUGCUUAGCCGCAAGGCGAAGGCAUGAACUUAAGCCCCGGUAAACGGCGGCCGUAACUAUAACGGUCCUAAGGUAGCGAAAUUCCUUGUCAGGUAAGUUCUGACCCGCACGAAUGGCGUAACGAUCUGGGCACUGUCUCAACAACCCGCCCGGCGAAAUUGUAGUACCGGUGAAGAUGCCGGUUACCCGCGACUAGACGGAAAGACCCCAUGGAGCUUUACUGUAGCUUGAUACUGGGACUCGGUUCAUUAUGUACAGGAUAGGUGGGAGACUGGGAAGUAUGGUCGUCAGGCCAUAUGGAGUCGCCCUUGGGAUACCACUCUUAAUGAAUCGGGUUUCUAACCUGCGGCCGUAAGCCGGUCGGGGGACAAUGUCAGGUGGGCAGUUUGACUGGGGCGGUCGCCUCCAAAAGAGUAACGGAGGCGCUCAAAGGUUGGCUCAGCGCGUAUGGAAAUCGCGCAUAGAGUGUAAACGCAAAAGCCAGCCUAACUGUGAGACACACAAGUCGAACAGUAACGAAAGUUGGAGUUAGUGAUCAGGUGGUAGUGAGUGGAAAUGCCAUCGCUUAACGGAUAAAAGCUACCCUGGGGAUAACAGGCUGAUCUCCCCCAAGCGUCCACAGCGACGGGGAGGUUUGGCACCUCGAUGUCGGCUCAUCACAUCCUGGGGCUUGGAGAAGGUCCCAAGGGUUCGGCGGUCCGCCGAUUAAAGUGGUACGCGAGCUGGGUUCAGAACGUCGUGAGACAGUUCGGUCCCUAUCUGUCGUGGGCGUUGGAUAUUUGAGAGGGUCUGUCCUUAGUACGAGAGGACCGGGAUGGACGUACCUCCGGUGCACCGGUUGUUCCGCCAGGAGCACAGCCGGGUAGCCGCGUACGGUUGCGAUAAACGCUGAAAGCAUCUAAGCGUGAAGCGUGCCUCAAGAUUAGAUAUCCCACAGCUUAAAGCUGGUAAGGUCGCUUGUAGACUACAAGUUUGAUAGGUCGGAGGUGGAAGCUCAGUAAUGUUGUGCAGCUUACCGAUACUAAUUGACCGAGGGCUUGAACU